Zea mays is the source of this 2382-nucleotide long non-coding RNA. RefSeq lists it as uncharacterized. The transcript is spliced from 4 exons. The record is from RefSeq and is a predicted model, not a curated record. NCBI's taxonomy places the organism in Eukaryota, Viridiplantae, Streptophyta, Magnoliopsida, Poales, Poaceae.
UCUAACAGUCUGUUAACCCUCCUCUUCAGUUCAAGAUUGUGAUGAUUUGUAGUACUGAAUUGGAGGCUUUAAUCCCCUGCAAUUUAUGUGGUACAAGUAAGGGUGUUGUGUGAUAAUGCGAAAGAGAUUCUAAUGAAGGAAAGAAAUGUUCAGGUUUGCUAUUUUGAUCACUUUGACUUAAAAUUAUCAGCAAUUCCAUUCUAUGACCAUUUGAGAUAGCAUCUUGUUUGGGUCCGCCUAACAUUCCUUCUAUUAGACUGGCAAUUAUAUUUUUGUACUGACAAUCCAGUAUAUUUUUGUACUGGAUAAAUCCUUCUAUUAGCCUGGCAAUUAUAAUUACUGGGAUGGUACUGGUAUAUUUUUCUUCCUUUCAAAAUUCAUAUGUUGUUAGUAUCUAAUAAUGGAUAAAUCUGACCUUCUGCUAUUUAUUUUGUAGGAUAGUUCUGACAUCAUUGCCAUAGUGCUGGUUUACUGCAUGGCUAAUAACAACAUUAUUCGUUUCCAUCCCACAAGAAGGAAUAUCAAUGGUCUUCUACGAAGGUAGAGUUUACCACAUUUUGUACACAAAAAUUGGCACUGAUUACAAUAAGCCUAUACUAGAUUGGCUUGAGAAUUCCAAUGAUGAGGUAUCAGAGAAGUGUGAUGCCAUAACAUCUGGUGUUCUGAAAGAAGCGGCAAAAGAACUUGCUAGCCGUUUGAGUAUUUCUAACGUGCUUGAAUUUUAAUCUAAAAAAUGCAAAUCAGAGACAAGGCUGCUACUAUGAGGGAUAAGUGAGUCAUUCAUAUCUUACUUACUCACACAACAUGGUAUUCUUUGCAGAAAUCUCAUCUUUGCAUGGAUCAUAUGUGUAUCUAAUUUGGAUCGUCACUUAGAAGUUUUAGACAUCUCUGUGUUCGUCCGAGCCUCUUAAUCUAUUAUGUUCAUUGUGCCAUGCACUUGGAGUUCUUAUGGGCAGACUUGUGAAAGCUGCAGAUUCAGUUUCGGUAUGUUACAAUUUUCAGAGCACUAUGCUUAGCUACACUGCUCAGUACUUACAUAUGAAUGGAAUACAAACACAUGUAUGGUGAUGCUUCUAUUUCUCUUUGAAACUGAAACUUCAGAUGUGCCUAUCUAAAGGUUUAGGUGUCCCUAUUGGAUUCAAAGGCUCUUGUUGACAAGGUCUAUCCAUGUGUGUUUCUAAGUCUAAAUUGUAGUGUUGUAUUACUGCAAAAUGAAAAGAACUGUAUAUUAUAAUGGAAAUAUGACCAAUACCUUCAGACCAAAAAAUCUUCGAAAGAUCCUAGGUGGUGGAAUGAGGCAGGUUGGAUUUCUGUGUGCUGGUGCUCAUACAAUAUGGGAAAGCUUGCUGGUGAGGAUAGAAAGGCUAAAGUUGUGGCAGGUUUAUUUUUUCCCUCUUUUCUAAAAAAUUUAGAAUUGGUUGUAUGUUAUUUAAGGCAAAAUGUUUUUCUAUUGUCUAAAAAAUGAUUAAUUUUUUCCCAGAAUAUUUAUUUCCUAGCUUUUUAUCCUACUUAAAACAAAUCGAAACUGUCAUUGGCUUGAAGUCCUGAACUUGUCACUCUUGUCCAUUUUCCUAGAAGGGCCAAAUAGAAUUGAACAGUUCACAGUGGAUUCAACUUUAGUCGUGCCCAAUAUGGUUAGCCUCCUACAUUUAUUUUCUCAUUGUCUACUAUAUGUGUAACUAUAAAUGUCCCAUUUGUAACAUACCUAUACUUUCUAAGUCAUUCUUGGAUAUUGUGGAUUCACACAUAUCAUAUGACAAGCUGUGCCAAGUCUUGGGAACACACAAUGUGCUUGCAAGGAGUUCAAAAACAUGAAGCUCCUUUGAUGUUCAAUAAGAUUUAGCAUGUUAAGUAAUUUUCUAAUAACAUUUAGCAUGUUGAAAAAGGUGAAGUUCCACACAGUAGUUUAGGAUUUAGCGUCUACAUUAUUUUUAAAAUGUGAUUUGACAUUUUCAAUAUCCUUGUUGAUGCUACCUUAUUAUCAUUCUUCUAGACUUUCUGGAGUAUUACCAUUACUAACUUAACUAAGGCUACCAAAAUUAGCAAUGCCAGUUUUUUUUGAACCUAGACAACAUCAUUAUACUAUAUCCAUUCUAGCUGUUCAUAUGACCUCCUUUACUUACGCAGUGUGAGGCUUGUCCUUCAUUGCCAAAUUUUAGAUACCGAUGUUGAAUAUGAAGUGGCACCGUUUUUUACUAUUAUUGUUCGGGCUCGUGUAACAAAGACACAAUUUUGAAGAAAUAUUCGUCAACUCUUGCCACAAUAUUGACUGGUCUAGCUUCUGCUGUAUUUUUGGGACAUUCCUUGACCAUUAAUUUUCUCCUAGGCAUAUCAGUGGUGUUUAUUUCAAUGCACCAGUUCUUCUCUCCACUUGCAAAAGUC